GGAGGUUGGCUUAGAAGCAGCCAUUCCUUUAAAGAGUGCGUAAUAGCUCACUAGUCAAGCGACUCGGCGUCGAUAAUAAGCGGGCAUAAGCCGCUUGCCGAAGCUGUGGGAUUGAAAAAUCGGUAGGGGAGCAUUCCAGUUGCGUCGAAGCUGGCUCGUAAGGGCUUGUGGAGCGGCUGGAAGCGAAACUGUAGGCAUGAGUAACGAUAAGACGGGUGAAAAACCCGUCCACCGUAAACCCAAGGGUUCCUGAUCAACGCUAAUCGGAUCAGGGUUAGUCGAGUCCUAAGGUGUACCCGGUAUGGCCGGGGAAGCCGAUGGCAAAGCGGUUAAAUAUUCCGCUACCACGACCAACGCGUGGCUAAGGCGUGACGCAGAAGUGACACUCCCGCGUGCUGACGAAUGCACGUUAAAGGGUGUAGGCUGGGGGGUAGGCAAAUCCGCCUCCCGUUAAAGCUGAAACCUGACAGUACUCUGAGCCCUCGGGCGAGGAGAUAGUGGAGGUAAUCAUGCUGCCAAGAAAAGCGUCGUAGUUUGUUGGAAGUGCUCGUACCCCAAACCGACACAGGUGGGUGAGGAGAGUAUCCUCAGGUGCUCGAGUAAUUCAUGGCUAAGGAACUAGGCAAAUUGGAUCCGUAACUUCGGGAGAAGGAUCCCCCUCCGCAAGGAGGGGCGCAGUGAAAAGGCCCAAGCGACUGUUUACCAAAAACACAUGUCU
RNAcentral lists this ribosomal RNA (718 nucleotides) under Synchroma pusillum. RNAcentral's name for it is "partial Bacterial large subunit ribosomal RNA". It matches the Rfam family "Bacterial large subunit ribosomal RNA", at positions 1096 to 1822 of the family's 2925-position model. Lineage: Eukaryota; Synchromophyceae; Synchromales; Synchromaceae. The record is from RNAcentral.